Molecule: long non-coding RNA, 1928 nt
Organism: Sciurus carolinensis (gray squirrel)
Lineage: Eukaryota; Metazoa; Chordata; Mammalia; Rodentia; Sciuridae
Exons: 4
Source: RefSeq, a predicted model, not a curated record
CCGGCCAGCGCCGCUUGCCGGAGCGCGGAGGCUGCAGCGCGCCGCGGCUCCGAGAUGCCGCGGCUCCGCCCGCCCCCGCCACCCCGAGUCCCAGAGCCCGGGUCGGAGCGGCAGACCUGACUCCGGGCCGAAGAAGGGGUUCUUUCGUGCAGAGUUGCGGCUGGAGGACCCAAAGUUUUGCUUGAAGCGUGUCCCUUCCUUCUCGGGUCCCUGUCGCCCACGGUGAGGCGCCCCUGCGGAGAUCCUGACGGCUUAAUGGGAGGGAGCCGAGUAGGUUUCACCCCCAACCCCAAGUAGGGAGGGGAUCCUGGUGACCUCGCGUGCUGGCCACGGUCCCCUUCAUCCUAUCAGCUCUCUGAUGGACCGCGAACCAUGGAGAUUCAGAGGAUGCCUCUGGGAGCUGAAACCAAUGGGUAGAUGGUCCUUAAAUGCAGUGCUGAGAAUUGAACCCAGUGCCUCACACAUGUAAGUCUGUUGUAGCUCCCCCAGAGCAACAGUUUUCACGGAACGGAGUCUCCCGGCUUCGUGGCAGAUUCUCUACACCGUGGAGGAGGGCCUGCUGGGCAUCCGGUUCUGGCGAGGACCAGAGAACUGUGAUAACUUGAGGGUGUCGUGUCAACCUUGUCUCAUGCACCAGCUGAACUCAGUGACACUAGCUUCUUGGAUCCUGACAGACGGCACUGUUCUUACUGAAUCACCAAGGAGGCUGCUCAGUCCUGGGGGCCGCUCUGCUCUGGAGGUGCUUCCUUUGCGGUAUGGGCAGACUUGACCUCAGACAAGGCAGAGGGCAUGCCCCGAUUUGGAACCCUAUACUGGUGUCCGUUAUACCAGUGGUUUUCAAAGUUGAACUUGUGUCUGAGUCACCUGGAGGGCUUGUUAAAACACAGGGUGCUGGGCCCCCAAGUUUCUGACUCAGCAGGUCUGGGAUGAGACCUGGGACUAUGCUUUUCUAAUAAGUCCCUAGUGUUAUGGAUGCUGCUGCUUGGGAGAUCACACUUGGGGAAUCACAGGUCUGCUCCAGGGUCGCAUUGUCAACUUAUAAAAUAUUCUCUUUAGUUCUUUUUGCAAAGAAAUAUCAGAUUUGAUGGACAAAUGAAUGGAAGUAAAAAAAAAACAAACAACCCACAAGUCCAUCAACUGAUGAGUGGAUAAAUUAAGGAAUAUCCAUACAAUGAAAUAAUAUUGAGUCAUAAAAAGGAAUGAAAUACUAAUACACCUUACAAUGUGUGAAUGAUCUUUGAAGACAUUGUGCUAAAUGACAGAAGCCAGUUACAAAGGGCCACAUAUUCUAUGAAUCAAUUUAGAUGAUAUGUCCAGAAUAGGCAAAAUCAUAGAGACAGAAAGCAGUUUAUAGUUGCCAGGAAAUGGAAGCAGAGUUGAAACAGGGAGUGACUGCUUAUUGUGCUUCCCAAUGUGAUGAUAAAAACAUUGAACUACAUAGUGGUGAUGGUCACACUGUGAAUGUACUUUGUACCACCAAAUGGCAUAUUUUAAAGAUGGCUAAAAUGGUCAAUUUUAUGCUGUAUGUAUUUUGCCACAAUAAAAAAUUAAGAGUGAAUGGAGUGAGUGUCAUUUAAAUUAUUGACCACUGAAAUGUUUACAGAACAAUGUUGGGAAAUGCAAAGGGCCUAAACAGGUGUUUCUCAGCCCUGAUUGGCUGAAGAGUCAGUCAUCUGGAGAGGUUUACAACAUACCCUCCUCUUAGCUACUCCCCAAACUAGCUCAGUCUCUGAGGUGAGGCCCAGGCAACAAAAAGUAAAGAUCUACCUCUAGAUGGUUGCAGCGAACAGCCAGGAUGGAGAACACUGCAUUGGUGACCUCCCUGAACCCCAACUUGACCUUCAUCACAAACAACAGCUCCAUUACCUCCUCCUUUGUGCGCUUGGCAUUGGAGUGCAGAGUAGAAGCAGGAGACUUGGAAUCAGAUC